Long non-coding RNA from Mauremys reevesii (Reeves's turtle), 310 nucleotides. RefSeq lists it as uncharacterized. The transcript has 3 exons. The record is from RefSeq and is a predicted model, not a curated record. Lineage: Eukaryota; Metazoa; Chordata; Testudines; Geoemydidae.
GACUCCAUGAGGGCAAGCAGUCAGGGCAGCUGCUUUGCAGAAGGCCAUGUGCCCUGUUAGGUUGCCCUUGGCCGUAUCCUGAGACUUGUUUUUAAAAAAUCAGAUUUGUUGCUGGUGCCCCCUCCAAACCUGCAGUAUUGUCUCUAACUUCUUGAUCCACUUUAAAACCCAUAAAGUGAGUGUCUAGCUCUCGUGGUGCUGGAGAAAGCUUCAAAAUGUGACCCCAGUGCACUCUAAAGGCUCAAAAAGAAGACGAGAAAGAAAAAGAACACCAAAUCUAUUAUGUUUACAUAAUCUCAUGAUUUUAAAG